CAGUAGUAUAGGGAAUGAGGGUUCUAGACCACUUUUUCGGCCCGCGAUCUCACCCAACUUCCGGUCAGCGGUUUCCAUAUUUUCCCCUCAAAAACGCGGGCUCAUAUUUUUCUAGACCAUUUUUCUAUUAUUUUUGGUAUUAUUUUUUCUAUUAUUUUUGGCAUUAUUUUUUCUAUUAUUUUUGGCGUUAUUUUUUCUAUUAUUUUUGGCAUUAUUUUUUCUAUUAUUUUUCUAUUAUUUUUCAGCAUUAUUAUUUACAAGAAUUAUUAUCAUAUGCUAGGGCUCAUAUUUUUCUAGACCAUUUUUUAUCUAUUAUUUUUCAGAAUUAUUUUAAUCUUUAUUAUCAUAUUUAAUUAUACUCAAGGGGCCUAGGCUCUUAGGAUCAAACACAUUACUUGAAUCAUCUUUUUUAUCUUGUGUGCUCACUCCAAUGUUAAUAUUAUUUGAUACAGAGAAAUUUAUAUCACCAGCCUUCCCAGUUCUACUAGAACUCUUACGACAACCACAAAUCUUACCUAAGCAGGAGAAGCAUGACCUCCACCUUGACAUCUUAUCUUAUGAUAGACCACAUGUUAACUACCUGACCCCGAAUAUCGGAGUGACCAGCAAAAGGACAUAUCCAUACUCAUACCAAUGGGCAUUGAGUGUUCAGGUUUAACUAUAACACACCAAGCUAAAGUAUUAUCUACCAACGCAGCCUGGGCUCCUAAAUAGAACAUACUAUUACCCUUGAAAACAUAGCAAGCUGUACUUCCACCAGUAGUUGUGAAAGUUCCAUUGAACCAAGUGUAGGACAACCUUCUUAGGUCAAUUGUAGCAAAAACAAUUUCCUUCCUAACCUGGGUAAAUUUUCCAUUAGAUUGCUUUUCCCAAACGGUAGCCCACAGGAUGAGCCCUAUAGGUAUAUUCAGAACGGUUGAAAAAAUUGGGGAGUCUGUUUUAAUAGUUAUUGACUCAAGGUUGAGGUCUGUCAUAUUAUUAAUAGGAUCUGUUCUCCAUGAAGGUGGAAUCUGAUCUUGACAGUAAGCGUAGUACCUUGUUGCAGCAACUGCAACACCGCGAUAACCCCAAACCCAUUCUGCAUGUAUAUGUCGCCGUGUUCUUACAUAUCUUAAGUCAGCCGUUGCUUGAGUAAGACCAGUUGAAGGUUUUAGGAAAUUCUUUUCUACCCAUUGUUUGUUAACUGCAUCCUUGUCAUUUACAGGAUCCUUCAGAUCAAGAAUUCCACUUGAAUCUCCCAUGUCCAAAUCUCCCUUUAC
This is a non-coding RNA of Paramuricea clavata, 1259 nucleotides long. Lineage: Eukaryota; Metazoa; Cnidaria; Anthozoa; Malacalcyonacea; Plexauridae. The record is from the annotation of a GenBank genome assembly.